RNAcentral lists this unclassified non-coding RNA (253 nucleotides) under uncultured bacterium. RNAcentral describes it as "contains 16S-23S intergenic spacer region". It matches the Rfam family "Bacterial small subunit ribosomal RNA", at positions 524 to 776 of the family's 1533-position model. The record is from RNAcentral.
UACGGAGGUGGCAAGCGUUACUCGGAAUCAUUGGGUGUAAAGGGCAAGUAGGCGGUCUGUUAAGUGAGGGGUGAAAUCUUCCGGCUCAAUCGGAAAACUGCCUUUCAAACUGGCAGACUUGAGGCAGAAAGAGGGAAAUGGAAUUCUCGGUGUAAGGGUGAAAUCUGUAGAUAUCGAGAAGAACACCUGCGGCGAAGGCGAUUUCCUGGUUCUGCCCUGACGCUGAAUUGCGAAAGCUAGGGUAGCGAACAGA